UCUCUUUUGAGGAGAGAAGUCAGAGCCGGAGACCAAGCUUCCCAAUCUGCCAACCCAGGUCCUUGAGGGCAAGAUUUCUACCUUAGCCUCUGCUGCCCCUAAGCUCCCUCUGCCAUGGUGACUUUCGGAUCAGCUUCACCUGCCAACAUCGCUGGAGCUGGAGCUCAUCACUUCUUCCCUGGGGUCCUAGCGCCAGGCAGACGCAUCUGGGGAAGGAAAGACAUAGCCAUUGCUCCCGUUUGCGGGACAAAGACCUAGAAAGAAGCUGA
Long non-coding RNA from Pteropus alecto (black flying fox), 269 nucleotides. RefSeq lists it as uncharacterized. NCBI's taxonomy places the organism in Eukaryota, Metazoa, Chordata, Mammalia, Chiroptera, Pteropodidae. The transcript has 3 exons. The record is from RefSeq and is a predicted model, not a curated record.